This 1293-nucleotide long non-coding RNA is filed under the name Sus scrofa (pig). Its description in RNAcentral is "lncRNA (ENSSSCG00070015231.1)". The record is from RNAcentral. Lineage: Eukaryota; Metazoa; Chordata; Mammalia; Artiodactyla; Suidae.
AUGGCGCAGCAGAAACAAAUCCGACUAGGAACCAUGAGGUUGUGGGUUCGAUCCCUGGCCUUGCUCAGUGGAUUAAAGAUCUGGCAUUGCUGUGAGCUGUGGUGUAGGGCAGUGGCUACAGCUCCUAUUAGACCCCUUGCCUGGGAACCUCCAUAUGCCGAGGGUGCUGCCUUAAAAAGACAAAAGAAAAAAAGAACAAUAAAAACUGAGAUAGGGGUUCCCGCUAUGGUACAUUGGGUUAAGAACCUGACUACAGUGGCUUGGCUCACUGCAGAGAUACAGUUUUAAUCCCUGACCUGGUGCAGUGGUUUAAAGGAUCCGGGCGUUGCCACAGAUGCAGCUCGGAUUCGAUCCCUAUCCUGGGAACUUCUGUAGGCUGUGGGUGGCCAUGAAAAAAAACCUGAGAUACAUGAGAUUUAUGCUUUGAAAACAUAUAGUUCAGUGGUUUUUAGUAUAUUUACAAGCCUGUAUAGCCAUCAUCACUGUCUAAUUCCAGAACAUUUCCUAGUCCAAAAAGAAACCCCAUACCCAUUAGCAAUCACUCCCUAUUCCUCCUGUUCCCUUAGACCAUGGCAACCAGUAAUCUGCUUACUGUCUCUAGGGACUUGCCUUAUAGUGGACAUUUCAUAUCCAUGGAAUCUUAUAAUACAUGGCCUUUUGUGUCUGGCUUAUUUUGUUUAGCAUAAUAAUGUUUCAGGAUUCAUCCAUGUUGUAGCAUGUGUCAGUACUCCAUUUUUUUUUAUGGCAGAAUAAUGUUCCAUUAUAUGGACAUACAUUUUGUUUGUCCAUAAGUUGUGAAUAAUUGGGUUGUUUCUGCCUUAUAGCUGUUGGGAUAAUGCUGCUGUGAACAUUGUGUACAAGUUUUUUGUAUGAACAGAUCUUUUCAGUACUCCUGGAUAGACAUCUAGGAGUGGAAUUGCUGAGUCAUGUGGCAACUGUCUCUCUCUUUUUUUUCCUGAUAUUUUAUUGAGGUGAAGUUAAAUCAUUCAUAAUGUUGUACAACCACUACCUCUGUUUCGUUUCAAAAUAUUUCCAUUACUCCAAGUAAAACCCCUCACCCAAUAAUGUUUCUCCCCAUUCCCUACCCCUGGCAACUACCAGUCUGUCUUCUGUCUCUAUGAAUUUAUCUAUUUUGAAUACGUCAUGUAAAUAGAACCUUAGAAUAUGUCGCCUUUUGUGUCUGGUCUUUUGAUUAUUGUAUUUGGAGGUUCAUCCACGUUCUAGCAUGUAUCAGUACUUCAUUUCUUUUUAUGGUUAAAUAAAAUUCUGUUUAACUUUUUGAGUGGCUGUACU